Molecule: ribosomal RNA, 509 nt
Filed under: uncultured bacterium
Lineage: Bacteria
Description: bacterial SSU rRNA
Rfam family: Bacterial small subunit ribosomal RNA
Source: RNAcentral
ACGAACGCUGGCGGCGUGCCUAAUACAUGCAAGUCGAGCGGACCGACGGGAGCUUGCUCCCUUAGGUCAGCGGCGGACGGGUGAGUAACACGUGGGUAACCUGCCUGUAAGACUGGGAUAACUCCGGGAAACCGGGGCUAAUACCGGAUGCUUGAUUGAACCGCAUGGUUCAAUCAUAAAAGGUGGCUUUUAGCUACCACUUGCAGAUGGACCCGCGGCGCAUUAGCUAGUUGGUGAGGUAACGGCUCACCAAGGCGACGAUGCGUAGCCGACCUGAGAGGGUGAUCGGCCACACUGGGACUGAGACACGGCCCAGACUCCUACGGGAGGCAGCAGUAGGGAAUCUUCCGCAAUGGACGAAAGUCUGACGGAGCAACGCCGCCGUGAGUGAUGAAGGUUUUCGGAUCGUAAAACUCUGUUGUUAGGGAAGAACAAGUACCGUUCGAAUAGGGCGGUACCUUGACGGUACCUAACCAGAAAGCCACGGCUAACUACGUGCCAGCAGCCGC